GCCCUCCUUAUACCUGGCCAGACCACCCCGGGCUCCAUUCCUCGGAGGCGGUCAACACGAUGUUGUGGCUGUGGUGGGCGCUGGCGUCCGGGGUCGCGCUGCUCGUGACCCGGGUCCGGAGGUUCGUGGGCGGCGGCGGCCCGAACCCCUUCGCUUAAAGACGUGAGGAGGCCGCGGGAGCCGCUGGUGACCGACCGGGAGGCCCGCAAGAGAGUGCUCAAGCAAGGUGGGAGCCGAGACAGCUGACAGGUGCCCUGAGGAGAUGAAAUCCAGAAUAUGGCAGGAAAGAGAAGCUUGGCAACAACCAUGAGACCAGCAGAGAUAUUGCCUAACCAUUUUCAGGAAAUCUUUGAAGGGAGUUUUCUUUGAGUCUAUGUUGGGAAAUUAUCUCUUGUAACAAGGAAAAAUAUGAAUAAAAUUUAAAAAUAAAAUAAACUUAA
Molecule: long non-coding RNA, 440 nt
Organism: Trichosurus vulpecula (common brushtail)
Lineage: Eukaryota; Metazoa; Chordata; Mammalia; Diprotodontia; Phalangeridae
Exons: 2
Source: RefSeq, a predicted model, not a curated record